CACACACUCCCCACCCCCAAACUACCCUGAACAUGCUUAUCUUUACAUUGGUGUGAAUAUAGGGGGCAGCACACACACACACUGAAGUGUGUGGCUAGGAACUAGCGCAAUGCAUUUGCUAACUGACUCAGACUGUCAGCCUGCAACCUAUGUGAAGGCCAAUACUGUAGUCCUUAUCUUCAAAUCUUCUUUUCUUUUUAUUAGAAAUCUUCUUUUAAAGUACAGUCCCAUCGGAAUAACUUGCAUUUUAAGCCAGAGCCAGAGAGGAGUCAAGUCUGUGUUUAGUUGCUCGCAGAACGUUUACACUAUUUUGAAAAACUGAAAACCAUCUGAUUGUAUCGGACGUUUAUCCUAAACAGUGGAUGUUCAUCUCGUUUCCAGGCUGCUUCCUCCGAGACACCUGCAGCUCUUUAACAACAGCAACAACUUGCAUUUAUAUAGCGCCCUUCAUGCCAGGCAUUGUCUCGGAGCGCUUAGCUGUGAGCUGGUUUUUCCUCCACCCGUCACCUGCAAACAUCUCAUCUGGAAUUGAGAACUCAGUUUGGGUGGGGAGACAAAGGAAAUGGUGAGAAAUCGUGAACCGGAGAGUUGACACCUAUGGGCCAUUUGCUGAGUUUCCAAUGAGGCUGUAUUUGAAAGGUCAUCGUUCAACUUAAAAAAAAACCUGAGGAAUGUUGUCCUAUAUUCACAACUCAUUUACAAGCGCAUUUGUGAAGUCUUGAGUAUUUUUGGCAUUUGUGCAUGGAAAUGUGGACAAAGGUUUUACUGACCUUUUUUAUGAAUGUAGACCAGAGGCUCUCAUACUCAUCUCGUUCCCCAGCCCCUUGUAUAAAACCGAUCCCAAGAAGCCCUUUCCUGCCUGUGUAAUGCCUCAUUAACUCAUUUACUCUGCAUGUGAAUGUUGCUUUUGUUAUGGGACCCAUGUCAUGUGAAAUCCAAUCAUGUGUUGAUCCUCAAAUCAUUGAAUUGGAGUGUUACACUUAAAAUAAAAUGAAUAAACCACCUCCUCAAA
Callorhinchus milii (elephant shark) is the source of this 1012-nucleotide long non-coding RNA. RefSeq lists it as uncharacterized. The record is from RefSeq and is a predicted model, not a curated record. Lineage: Eukaryota; Metazoa; Chordata; Chondrichthyes; Chimaeriformes; Callorhinchidae. The transcript is spliced from 2 exons.